Molecule: ribosomal RNA, 253 nt
Filed under: uncultured bacterium
Lineage: Bacteria
Description: partial 16S ribosomal RNA
Rfam family: Bacterial small subunit ribosomal RNA
Source: RNAcentral
UACGUAGGGUGCGAGCGUUAAUCGGAAUUACUGGGCGUAAAGCGUGCGCAGGCGGUAAGUUAAGUCUGAUGUGAAAGCCCCGGGCUCAACCUGGGAAUGGCAUUGGAAACUGGCUUGCUAGAGUGUGGCAGAGGGGGGUGGAAUGCCGCGUGUAGCAGUGAAAUGCGUAGAGAUGCGGCGGAACACCGAUGGCGAAGGCAGCCCCCUGGGCUGAGAUUGACGCUCAGGCACGAAAGCGUGGGGAGCAAACAGG